RNAcentral lists this ribosomal RNA (496 nucleotides) under uncultured bacterium. RNAcentral's name for it is "partial 16S ribosomal RNA". It matches the Rfam family "Bacterial small subunit ribosomal RNA", at positions 28 to 506 of the family's 1533-position model. The record is from RNAcentral.
GAUGAACGCUGGCGGCGUGCCUAAUACAUGCAAGUCGAGCGAACAGACGAGGAGCUUGCUCCUCUGACGUUAGCGGCGGACGGGUGAGUAACACGUGGAUAACCUACCUAUAAGACUGGGAUAACUUCGGGAAACCGGAGCUAAUACCGGAUAAUAUAUUGAACCGCAUGGUUCAAUAGUGAAAGACGGUUUUGCUGUCACUUAUAGAUGGAUCCGCGCCGCAUUAGCUAGUUGGUAAGGUAACGGCUUACCAAGGCGACGAUGCGUAGCCGACCUGAGAGGGGGAUCGGCCACACUGGAACUGAGACACGGUCCAGACUCCUACGGGAGGCAGCAGGAGGGAAUCUUCCGCAAUGGGCGAAAGCCUGACGGAGCAACGCCGCGUGAGUGAUGAAGGUCUUCGGAUCGUAAAACUCUGUUAUUAGGGAAGAACAAAUGUGUAAGUAACGAUGCACGUCUUGACGGUACCUAAGCAGAAAGCCACGGCUAACUACGU